RNAcentral lists this ribosomal RNA (460 nucleotides) under uncultured bacterium. Its description in RNAcentral is "partial 16S ribosomal RNA". It matches the Rfam family "Bacterial small subunit ribosomal RNA", at positions 338 to 795 of the family's 1533-position model. The record is from RNAcentral.
CCUACGGGGGGCAGCAGUGAGGAAUAUUGGUCAAUGGGCGCGAGCCUGAACCAGCCAAGCCGCGUGAAGGAUGACUGCCCUACGGGUUGUAAACUUCUUUUAUAAAGGAAUAAAGUGAGGCACGUGUGCCUUUUUGUAUGUACUUUAUGAAUAAGGAUCGGCUAACUCCGUGCCAGCAGCCGCGGUAAUACGGAGGAUCCGAGCGUUAUCCGGAUUUAUUGGGUUUAAAGGGAGCGUAGAUGGUUUGUUAAGUCAGUUGUGAAAGUUGGGGGCUCAACCGUAAAAUUGCAAUUGAUACUGGUAGUCUAGAGUACAGGUGAGGUAGGCGGAAUUCGUGGUGUAGCGGUGAAAUGCUUAGAUAGCACGAAGAACUCCGAUGGCGAAGGCAGCUUACUAAACUGCCACUGACAUUGAGGCGCGAAAGUGUGGGGAUCAAACAGGAUUAGAUACCCCGGUAGUC